Thalassophryne amazonica is the source of this 386-nucleotide long non-coding RNA. RefSeq lists it as uncharacterized. Lineage: Eukaryota; Metazoa; Chordata; Actinopteri; Batrachoidiformes; Batrachoididae. The record is from RefSeq and is a predicted model, not a curated record. The transcript is spliced from 3 exons.
CAGCAACUGCUGAAUGACAACUAUAAAACUGACUCCACCAGCAAAACUUGGUGGGAGAAUGGGUACUGGAUUGGCCUCACUGACAUUGAGACCGAGGAAAAGUGGGUCUGGAUUAACAAUGUGACCCAGGUGGAAACGUACUGGAUCCCGGGAGAACCGAACAACCAUGGUCCUGAUGGUGAGGACUGUGGUGCCUUUUAUUUUAGUGGAGAUCCCAUGAAGACACGGUAUGAUGGAAAAUGCCAAUAUCAUCUGUAUAACUGGUUGUGUGAGAUUAAAUUAAAGUAAACAUGCAGCCUCUCAAGCAGAUCUCAAACACUCAUUAUAUUUGAUUUCUCACAAUCAUUCAUCUUCAUCUGCUUACUCCAAUUAUGGGUCAUGCGGUC